This 754-nucleotide unclassified non-coding RNA is filed under the name Hevea brasiliensis (rubber tree). The record is from RNAcentral. Lineage: Eukaryota; Viridiplantae; Streptophyta; Magnoliopsida; Malpighiales; Euphorbiaceae.
GGUCUGCAACCCUCUAAGUAACCCUUUUUCAAAGAACUAAACCCAACAUAAAACCUUUUGAAUACUGGCUGCCCUCUAGGUCCAGUAGCAUUAGUUAGCAACUCAAACCUUCCUUCCCUGUCAAAAGAUUUCAAUUCAGCCAUGUAUGAUCCUAACUUAGCAUAAUGAGCCUUUAAAAUCCCCCUUAUUAGCUUUAAGGCUCUGGUUCUUGCCCUAUAACAAACCCACUUUGAUACACUUAGCCUAUACUUUUCUUGUAAAUCAAACAUCAUAUCAUCAAUUCCAUAAUCUGGAUUUCUCCUAAAUCUCUCCAUAAACUCCUUUGCAACCCAUUUUGCAUUAGCCAGUCUGUUACAUAAGCUCUUAGAACAAUUGUGGUCCCCAUUGUAUCUCUUCACUUAGAAUGUCCUUUCAUGUUGCAAAUUAACUACAUAAAUAGUCCAUUGGUAGUUACCAUCACAUACUGCCUCCAUCCUUAUUUCACAAGUCCUUUUCUGUCCAAUAUUAUAUCCAUUGCUAAUCCCAUAUAGUUUGACACAUUCCUGAAAUUGUUUGGCAUUCUCAAAUAUCAUUCCAAUAUCAAAUUCAAACUUAGUAUGAUCACAACUAGGAUUAUACACACCAAAUUUUUUCCUUUUCCUCUUAACAGUUUCUCCCAAAUCAUGCUCAUCACUACUUUAUGGGGUAUCAAACCCAUCAUCUUCACUAUCUUUAUAAUCACUAACAUGUUCACUAGUAGCCAAAUUCCUAUCAA